GAUGUAGAGCGCUUUAUAACUGCUCAAAUAUUACAAAUCACGAAACUUCUAAUGCGACGCGACCGUACAUAAAGACAUUGCUUAAUUAAAAAAAGAUAAGCGCGACAGAGACCUAGCCACAUACUGUGAAUAAUUUUAAUACCUUGAUCCUUUCGUAAAAAAAAAAAGAAAUACUUAUAUUCGUCUAUUGUAAACAGAAAAUAAAUAAGCAUUCCAAUAGCACGU
This is a non-coding RNA of Schizosaccharomyces pombe (fission yeast), 225 nucleotides long. The record is from the annotation of a GenBank genome assembly. NCBI's taxonomy places the organism in Eukaryota, Fungi, Ascomycota, Schizosaccharomycetes, Schizosaccharomycetales, Schizosaccharomycetaceae.